AAGUCGUAACAAGGUAACCGUAGGUGAACCUGCGGUUGGAUCAUUACAAAAUGAUAUAUUUCUAGGUUUGUAGUCUACUACUUUACGGUAUUGUGAUUCGCCUAGAAAUAUCAACUACCCAAUGUGCACUGUUUCUGUUUUUCGGGUGAUUGAUUUCUGCAGUAGUAGUAUUUAUUUAUUUAUUAUUAUUGCAGUUUAAAAUUGCCCGGCAGUUUAUAAACCCAACUUUAAUUAUUAGUCUGAUUAUUUCUGAAAAUGAAAUGAAAACAACUUUUGACAACGGAUCUCUUGGCUCUC
This 297-nucleotide unclassified non-coding RNA is filed under the name Operculomyces laminatus. RNAcentral describes it as "partial internal transcribed spacer region". The stretch from base 1 to 46 matches the Rfam family "Eukaryotic small subunit ribosomal RNA", at positions 1786 to 1831 of the family's 1831-position model. Lineage: Eukaryota; Fungi; Chytridiomycota; Chytridiomycetes; Rhizophydiales. The record is from RNAcentral.